AUUGAACGCUGGCGGCAGGCCUAACACAUGCAAGUCGAGCGGCAGCGGGAGAAAGCUUGCUUUCUUGCCGGCGAGCGGCGGACGGGUGAGUAAGGUAUGGGGAUCUGGCCGAAGGCGGGGGAUAACCACUGGAAACGGUGGCUAAUACCGCAUAAUCUCUAAGGAGCAAAGUGGGGGACCUUCAGGCCUCACACCUUCGGAUGAACCCAUAUGAGAUUAGCUAGUAGGUGGGGUAAAGGCUCACCUAGGCGACGAUCUCUAGCUGGUCUGAGAGGAUGAUCAGCCACACUGGGACUGAGACACGGCCCAGACUCCUACGGGAGGCAGCAGUGGGGAAUAUUGCACAAUGGGCGCAAGCCUGAUGCAGCCAUGCCGCGUGUAUGAAGAAGGCCUUCGGGUUGUAAAGUAUUUUCAGUCGUGAGGAAGGUGUUAAGGUUAAUAGUCUUAGCAAUUGACGUUAGCGACAGAAGAAGCACCGGCUAACUCCGUGCCAGCCGCCGCGGUAA
This 506-nucleotide ribosomal RNA is filed under the name uncultured bacterium. RNAcentral describes it as "partial 16S ribosomal RNA". It matches the Rfam family "Bacterial small subunit ribosomal RNA", at positions 30 to 523 of the family's 1533-position model. The record is from RNAcentral.